CUGUAAUCAGUUGUGUAUAGGACACUCGCGUGUGCGCGUCGAUUGCUGCUUUUUAGGCUGCUUUGCUUGCUUGCUUGGCUUUUUGCUUUGUCGCUCCGUUUUGCAAGCGAAUGUAAGCGACAACAGUAACAACAACAACAAGAAGAAGAACAAGAGCGACAACAACAGCGAAAGCGACAACAACGAAACGAGCUAACGAAAAAUUACAAUGUGUGUGUGUGCGUGUGUGCGUGAAGGAAAGAAGUAAGGUGAAGUGAGUGACAAGUUGGCAAAAAAUAAAGAACCGAAAAUGGAACAACAACAACAAAUGAAAUGUGCGCAACUAUGCAAAUAAAUUAAUAAGCCAAAGUCAUUACCAAAUUAAAACGAGACACGCGAAAAGCAGCAUACAACAAAAUAAAAACAUAGAGAGAGAAAGAGAGAGAGAGAGAGAGAGUGAGAAGCCAAAGCCAAGGAAAGUAAAGUAAAGGCAAGGCUCAAGUCAAGUGCGUUGAGUGGCAAAGUCAAGAGCUGCUGCUGAAGUAGCUGCUGGCAUGCUUAGAGAGACCCCAAGAAACGGAAAGAGAGGUUAACUCGUCCGUUGUCCUCGUCGCCGUCAAAGGCAUCGAAGCAAUGCUUGCCUCAUUAGCGACUUAGCCGCGUCAAAAUGCAAAGGUGAAGGAAGCCAAAAAAAUAAAAAUAAAAAAAUAUACUCGACCGCAAAAACGGAAUAAUCACUGAAAGAGUUUUUCUUCCCUCUGCACAAGGACGAGAAAUUGAAUAUAUUUAAGGAAAUAUAUAUAUACAUAAUAUAU
Long non-coding RNA from Drosophila sulfurigaster albostrigata, 794 nucleotides. RefSeq lists it as uncharacterized. The record is from RefSeq and is a predicted model, not a curated record. The transcript is spliced from 3 exons. Lineage: Eukaryota; Metazoa; Arthropoda; Insecta; Diptera; Drosophilidae.